Molecule: long non-coding RNA, 748 nt
Organism: Cyprinus carpio carpio
Lineage: Eukaryota; Metazoa; Chordata; Actinopteri; Cypriniformes; Cyprinidae
Source: Ensembl
GAGAAGGGUAUUCCUGCACAACUGGAGGCUGCAGUUUCAGGACCGCAGUUCUAGGACCCUAGUUUUUUUGUGACAGCGCCACCUACCGUACUGGAUCAACACUAAUUAAAGAUGGACGACGUGGACAGCAAUCAGACGAUGCAUAUAACAAUCCAAAAAGGGAGAUCCCUGCCCGAAUUGAAGAGAUGCACCACAUGCUGCAAGGACUUUCACUGCCCGUUCUGUAGUUCAGCUUUGUUCCACCCAUCAAAGUUGAGCAAGAUCAGAACCCAUUUAGAGAGCCAUUUCAAUCGUGCAGUUAUCCAUGAAGGGUAUACCAUUCACAGAUGUGGGUUACAUUGCCGACCACAGUUGCAUUACCACUGUAUCCACUGCCAGUCAAUGCUGUUACGUAAAUCUGUGAGGAACAGCAGGACAUCUUGUUUUCUUAUCUGAGAGGAGUGCUGGAUAGAACACCAACAGAAUUGAGCUUCACAGAUGAAGUGCAGUUCAUCUGUGAUGUUCUUUUUCCGGAGGCCAUCAUAUAUGCCCUGGCUGCCCUCCGGAAUUUGUCCUUGCAGGAGGCUGAGCAGGUCUUCCUUUCUGGUCCAGAUUAUCAUUUCAGUGAAGUGGAAGAAUUUAAUAGAAAGAUUGACAAACAAUUGAGGAAAGAAGGGAGAUCAUUCAAUUGAGUUGAAGCCUACAGCCAUUCUAUCCAUGCAGCAACUAAUGGAAAAGGGGUUCGCUUUGGUGCUGUUGCUGCAAAAAU